GGCUCUCUGUUUACAUAAAUAUAGGGAGUCGAGCCUGCCCAGUGAAUUUUUAAACGGCCGCGGUACUCUGACCGUGCAAAGGUAGCAUAAUCAUUUGCCUUAUAAUUGAAGGCUAGUAUGAAUGGUUUGACGAGAGCAACACUGUCUCCUUUUUAUUUUCAAGAACUUAACUUUUAGGUGAAGAGGCCUAAAUUUUAUUGAAGGACAAGAAGACCCUAUCGAGCUUAAAAGACAUUAUAGAAGUUUAUAUAUUUCUAAAUAAAUUUUCUAUUGAGCUUUUUAGUUGGGGCGACUAAGGAACAAAAAAAGCUUCUUGCUGAUAAUAGACAGUCAUGUUUAGAUCCGAUAAUAAUCGAUCAAAGAAAUUAGUUACCGUAGGGAUAACAGCAUAAUCUCUCUUGAGAGACCUAAUCGAAAGAGGGGGUUGCGACCUCGAUGUUGGACUAGAAUAUCCUAAAGAUGCAGAAGUCUUUGAAAGGUCGGUCUGUUCGACCGUUAAAAUUCUACAUGAUCUGAGUUCAGACCGGCGUGAGCCAGGUCAGUUUCUAUCCUCAAUUUAUUUAUCUGCACCCAGUACGAAAGGAUCGGUUUAGAAAGUGUAAACUUUUAUUAAGAAUUAAAAUAAUAAUAAAAUAAAUUUUAUU
This 644-nucleotide ribosomal RNA is filed under the name Juga (Juga) sp. 1 DC-2011. Its description in RNAcentral is "partial 16S ribosomal RNA". It matches the Rfam family "Bacterial large subunit ribosomal RNA", at positions 1817 to 2821 of the family's 2925-position model. Lineage: Eukaryota; Metazoa; Mollusca; Gastropoda; Semisulcospiridae. The record is from RNAcentral.